This 1464-nucleotide ribosomal RNA is filed under the name uncultured bacterium. RNAcentral's name for it is "16S ribosomal RNA". It matches the Rfam family "Bacterial small subunit ribosomal RNA". The record is from RNAcentral.
CUGGCGGCGUGCCUAACACAUCGCAAGUCGAACGAGUCCCCCUUUCGGGGGUGAGGCGAGUGGCGGACGGGUGAGUAACACGUGAGCAAUCUGUCCCUGUGCGGGGGAUAACCCGGGGAAACUCGGGCUAAUACCGCAUGGGCAACCGGCAGGCUCUGCCGGUUGGGAAAGGUGGCCUCUUUACAAUGCUGCCGUACAGGGAGGAGCUCGCGGGGCUAUCAGCUUAGUUGGUGCGGUCACGGCGCACCAAGGCGACGACGGCUACGGGUCUGAGAGGACGACCCCGCACAUUGGAACUGAGACACGGUCCAGACUCCUACGGGAGGCAAGCAGUGGGGAAUUUUGGGCAAUGGCCGAAAGGCUGACCCAGCGACGCCGCGUGUGGGAGGAAGCCCUUCGGGGUGUAAACCACUGUCAGGGGGGACGAAAGAGCGAGGUCUGAAUAGGGCUUCGCAGUGACGGUACCCCCAAAGGAAGCACCGGCUAACUCUGUGCCAGCAGCCGCGGUAAUACAGAGGGUGCAAGCGUUGUUCGGAAUCACUGGGCGUAAAGCGCGCUGCAGGCGGAGAUGCAAGUCUGGAAGUGAAAUCCAGCCGCUCAACGGCUGGGCUGCUUCGGAUACUACAUUUCUAGGGACCGGUAGAGGCUGGUAGAAUUGCAGGUGUAGCCGGUGGAAUGCGUAGAGAUCUGCAAGAAUACCCGUGGCGAAGGCGGCCAGCUGGGCCGGGUCCGACGCUGAGGCGCGAAAGCGUGGGGAGCAAAACAGGAUUAGAUACCCUGGUAGUCCACGCCGUAAAACGAUGGGCACUAGGUGCUGGGGGGGAGCGACCCCGUCAGUGCCGCAGCUAACGCGAUAAGUGCCCCCGCCUGGAAGUACCGGCCGCAAGGCUGAAACUCAAAGGAAUUGACGGGGGCCCCGCACAAGCGGUGGAGCAUGUGGUUUAAUUCGAAGCAACGCGAAGAACCUUACCUAGGUUUGACAUGCUGGUGAAAGCCUCUGGAAACAGGGGCCCUUCUUCGGAACACCAGCACAGGUGCUGCAUGGCUGUCGUCAGCUCGUGUCGUGAGAUGUUGGGUAAGUCCCGCAACGAGCGCAACCCUUGCCCCGUGUUACUAACAGGUCAUGCUGAGGACUCUCGGGGGACUGCCGGCGUCAAGCCGGAGGAAGGUGGGGACGACGUCAAGUCAUCAUGGCCCUUACGCCUAGGGCUACACACGUGCUACAAUGGCCGGUACAAAGGGCAAGCAAGAGCGCAAGCUGGAGCGAAUCCCAGAAAGCCGGUCCAAGUUCGGAUUGUGGGCUGCAACUCGCCCACAUGAAGCCGGAAUCGCUAGUAAUCGCGGAUCAGCUACGCCGCGGUGAAUACGUUCCCGGGCCUUGUACACACCGCCCGUCACGCCAUGGGAGCCGGGAGUGCCCGAAGUCCGUGUGCUAACCGCAAGGAGGCAGCGGCCGAAGGCAAG